UAGAAGGCCAAUGGCCCACAGCGUGCAGGGUGCAGUUUAUUAAGACAUAUUAGUCAUGUCAGUAAGUGUGAACUUUAUCCCAGUUGCCUGUGAGAAGAGACACUGGAAGCUUUCAGCCAUGGAAAUGACACGAUGCAGUUGGCAUUUUGUAAAUAUCACUCUGGUAACAGUUGGAAAAAGAAGCUUAACCCCCGACACGAAGUGACUAGUUAUUGAGCUGUUCCAGUAAUCCAAGUAAGAGAUGAUGGAGUGAUAAGAAAGAAGAAAACAGAAAGGAGGAAAAAACCUUGAGGGAGUGGAAUUGCUAAGUCCCAGUACUGUGGAUAAAGAUGAAGCCUCACAUACACUGUUUGUAAGAAAUUUUAAUCAGAAGAAAUGUGGGCUGUACAACAACUUGAACUCAUAAACAGGGACUUACACCACGCAUGAAGAAUCUAUACACCGAGUGACUCAGGAACCAGAGACAAGCGUGAGCGCAGACCUCUGAGAACUCAAAGAGAUCGUAAAGCAGCAUUCUCCAGAGGUAAAUGUUCCUAACCCACCUGAUGGUUCCGAUGGAAACAAACCUACUAGCAGAGGUGCAAUUGUUUCAACCCGAAGGCUCUACCCUGGGUACCAAGCUCCCUUCUAGUUCCUAUCGUUAAAGACCUGAAGAGAAAUCCUGCAGAGGGGUGACGUGUUUUUGCUUGUGCAUGUCUGAGCUCUAGAGUAUAUAGAAAUUUCUAGAACCAUGUUUCCAGUGCAGCUAAGCUGAUGACGUGAGACAAGAAGAGGUGUAGGGAACUACCUGGCCUUUUGUUUCCUGUGGAUCUCUAAGCACCCAGAGGGGCCUGGGAGCUAUCUGAGGGCCUGAAAGACUGAAAGGGCUUCCCUGAGUCUCUUGUUCUUCUUCAGCCCCAACUCCAUUAAAAGUCUAUUGGGAAGAAUCCAGCCUGAGCUGAACAGUAGGAAACACCAGUUCCUUGAGAAAAGGACAGAUGUGAGCUAACAGCCUCUGAGUACCCUUCCCAUGGCACUGGCUACACACUCGGCAUGUCCAGAACCAGGGCUCAGAAGGCAAUUGAGAAGAGCAAAAUCUAUCCAUGACAACCUGAAGGUGGCAAUAUUCACAUUUACUUGAAAACUGCUGGAGAAUGAGCUAC
Molecule: long non-coding RNA, 1142 nt
Filed under: Cricetulus griseus (Chinese hamster)
Lineage: Eukaryota; Metazoa; Chordata; Mammalia; Rodentia; Cricetidae
Description: lncRNA (ENSCGRG00015032332.1)
Source: RNAcentral